Sphaeramia orbicularis (orbiculate cardinalfish) is the source of this 695-nucleotide long non-coding RNA. RefSeq lists it as uncharacterized. The transcript is spliced from 3 exons. The record is from RefSeq and is a predicted model, not a curated record. NCBI's taxonomy places the organism in Eukaryota, Metazoa, Chordata, Actinopteri, Kurtiformes, Apogonidae.
UGUGCUUGGACUUAGAUAACAGACCUAGAUCACCAUUAGCAGGGAAUGCAUUUGUCAAGGACGAUUCUUUGACAGAAUUUCGUUGGACAUCACACCUGUGAAUAGUGUGAAACCAAUCUCCUUGCUAUGUUUAUGCUUCUCGUUACCGUUAGACAUCCUAACCCCCUCACCCACUCUCCACUUUCACAUAUGGACACAAACCUUUUCCGCUGUGUUUUCUGUUGUGGUGCACAGCCUUGGAGCAGCAGGGAACAGCUGUACGAGAGAAACUGGAGAGGAGAGUGGUUGAGCUGGAGAACAAACUGGCAGAACAACAAGGUUCAGGAGACACUGCAGCAGAGGUGAAGCGUGUGAUGAAUGGAGUGUUCCAUUCUCUCCGAGGGGAGUUUGACCUCAGUGAGUCGUACAGUGGCCAGGCUGUGCUGGGGGUGAUUGUCACCACCAUCAAGAAUGUAACCCUGCAGCCGCUGAGCAACUCCGAGAAAUCAGCACCGACACCGAGUAAGAAGGAAGAGGAAGAGGAGGAAGAGGAGGUCAAACCACAGCAGAACGUUCAUGUGAAUGGAGAAUGAGAAGAGGAAGUCAAAGAGGAAGAGAAGGAGGAAGUACAUGUGGCUCAAUCUGAGUCUCAACCACUCGGCAAGGACCAGAAGGACGAGGAAGUAUUGGAAAAGACAGAAACGGUUCCUGUGUCA